GACGAACGCUGGCGGCGUGCCUAACACAUGCAAGUCGAACGGGGUAGCAAUACCUCAGUGGCGAACGGGUGCGUAACACGUGAAGAAUUUGUCUAACGGCGGGGGACUAGCCGGCCCAACGGCCGGGGUAAUAACCGCGUACGACCGUCUGGAGGGCAUCCUCUGGUGGUGAAAGCCGCAAGGACGCCCGAUAGAGAACUUCGCGGCCUAUCAGCUAGUUGGCGGGGUAAU
RNAcentral lists this ribosomal RNA (231 nucleotides) under uncultured bacterium. RNAcentral describes it as "partial 16S ribosomal RNA". It matches the Rfam family "Bacterial small subunit ribosomal RNA", at positions 28 to 261 of the family's 1533-position model. The record is from RNAcentral.